Molecule: ribosomal RNA, 513 nt
Filed under: uncultured bacterium
Lineage: Bacteria
Description: partial 16S ribosomal RNA
Rfam family: Bacterial small subunit ribosomal RNA
Source: RNAcentral
GACGAAUGCUGGCGGCGUGCCUAAUACAUGCAAGUUGAGCGAUGAAGAUUGGUGCUUGCACCAAUUUGAAGAGCAGCGAACGGGUGAGUAACGCGUGGGGAAUCUGCCUUUGAGCGGGGGGCAACAUUUGGAAACGAAUGCUAAUACCGCAUAACAACUUUAAACAUAAGUUUUAAGUUUGAAAGAUGCAAUUGCAUCACUCAAAGAUGAUCCCGCGUUGUAUUAGCUAGUUGGUGAGGUAAAGGCUCACCAAGGCGAUGAUACAUAGCCGACCUGAGAGGGGGAUCGGCCACAUUGGGACUGAGACACGGACCAAACUCCUACGGGAGGCAGCAGUAGGGAAUCUUCGGCAAUGGACGAAAGUCUGACCGAGCAACGCCGCGUGAGUGAAGAAGGUUUUCGGAUCGUAAAACUCUGUUGGUAGAGAAGAACGUUGGUGAGAGUGGAAAGCUCAUCAAGUGACGGUAACUACCCAGAAAGGGACGGCUAACUACGUGCCAGCAGCCGCCGUAA